This 201-nucleotide long non-coding RNA is filed under the name Vigna radiata. RNAcentral describes it as "long non-coding RNA (VRAD_LNC008113)". Lineage: Eukaryota; Viridiplantae; Streptophyta; Magnoliopsida; Fabales; Fabaceae. The record is from RNAcentral.
UGAUCGUUGUUGCUGCCGAAAGCCUCCUACAGGUCCAGAAGGAUUAUUCUGCUGUUGCCCAACACUGGGGUGAUUCUUCCAACCUUGGCUGGAACUACCUUGGUUGAAAGCACCUUGCUUGUACGGAUAUUGGGCUCCCAUGUAGUUAACAUCAUGCUGCAACUCCUCGGGAAAAGCACAUUGACCAUUGAUAUGGUCUCC